UACGUAGGGUGCGAGCGUUAAUCGGAAUUACUGGGCGUAAAGCGUGCGCAGGCGGUUCGUUGUGUCUGAUGUGAAAGCCCCGGGCUCAACCUGGGAAUGGCAUUGGAAACUGGCGAGCUAGAGUGUGGCAGAGGGGGGUGGAAUUCCGCGUGUAGCAGUGAAAUGCGUAGAGAUGUGGAGGAACACCGAUGGCGAAGGCAGCCCCCUGGGCUAACACUGACGCUCAGGCACGAAAGCGUGGGGAGCAAACAGG
This 253-nucleotide ribosomal RNA is filed under the name uncultured bacterium. RNAcentral's name for it is "partial 16S ribosomal RNA". It matches the Rfam family "Bacterial small subunit ribosomal RNA", at positions 524 to 776 of the family's 1533-position model. The record is from RNAcentral.